GGGGCCGACCAGGCAUCGACCGGACAGGGAAGGCCGGCCGUGGCGCGCCGUGGAGCAUCCUGGCCACGUAAAAAGGAUGCAAACACACAACUGCUGAACCGCAGUACGCUCUUGCUGCCUAACUGAGCAGCACGAUCGCCGUCCGACGCCCGAUGGGGCGGCGAUCGUAGACAUCGGGCUGGCUCCGAAGGGCUGACAGCCGCCGGAGGAGCGAGACACUCGGCUGUCAUGUCCCGGAGAACCGCCGUCGUCGGCGAUUCCCGGGCCGAGAACACACGACGACUACGCGCGUAGAGGCGACCGGCUGACUGUUUCGGCACGGGGGUUCGAUUCCCCCCGGCUCCAUUC
Molecule: transfer-messenger RNA, 348 nt
Filed under: Phycisphaerales
Lineage: Bacteria; Pseudomonadati; Planctomycetota; Phycisphaerae
Also listed under: 2 other names
Description: CAADGA01 sp900696425 Standard tmRNA
Rfam family: transfer-messenger RNA
About the family: Bacterial tmRNA, also known as 10Sa RNA or SsrA, is named for its dual tRNA and mRNA-like properties. Its role is to liberate the mRNA from a stalled ribosome.
Source: RNAcentral